AUUAUUUCUGACAUUUUUAUGCUUUAUGUUGUAGGUGGUGAAAAAUGCUCUCCAGGGUAAACCGGGUGGACAAAGUAUUUUGAAUGACUGUGAUGGUGACACAUACACAGGCUGGGAAAACCAGGCAUUCUUCCGUUGGUUCAUGUGCUUCGUCCUACAUCCAAAGGCCACAAGAAGAAUCCAAAACAGCUCAUGUCAAACUGUGGACCAUGUUUUCAGAUAUGUGCAGAUGCAAGCCAGUGUUGAAGCCUUCCUCAUUGCUGUGAAACCAGGACAGCCCUUCCUCCUGCAUGUUGGUGAAAACAAGAGCAGCACCAAAGACACUUCACCAUCAGUGAUCACAAGAUCAUCCAAGGUAGCUUUUGAUGAACUUCCAAAGCACACUUCACCUUCAGUGCAAAGUACCAUGGAUUCCUCUAC
Poecilia latipinna (sailfin molly) is the source of this 420-nucleotide long non-coding RNA. RefSeq lists it as uncharacterized. The record is from RefSeq and is a predicted model, not a curated record. NCBI's taxonomy places the organism in Eukaryota, Metazoa, Chordata, Actinopteri, Cyprinodontiformes, Poeciliidae. The transcript has 3 exons.